This 388-nucleotide ribosomal RNA is filed under the name uncultured bacterium. RNAcentral's name for it is "bacterial SSU rRNA". It matches the Rfam family "Bacterial small subunit ribosomal RNA", at positions 30 to 416 of the family's 1533-position model. The record is from RNAcentral.
AUUGAACGCUGGCGGCAUGCUUUACACAUGCAAGUCGAACGGCAGCACGAGUGCUUGCACUUGGUGGCGAGUGGCGAACGGGUGAGUAAUACAUCGGAACGUGUCCUGAAGUGGGGGAUAACGCAUCGAAAGAUGUGCUAAUACCGCAUAAUCUCUCAGGAGGAAAGCAGGGGAUCGAAAGACCUUGCGCUUUUGGAGCGGCCGAUGUCUGAUUAGCUAGUUGGUGGGGUAAUGGCCUACCAAGGCAACGAUCAGUAGUUGGUCUGAGAGGAUGGCCAACCACACUGGGACUGAGACACGGCCCAGACUCCUACGGGAGGCAGCAGUGGGGAAUUUUGGACAAUGGGGGAAACCCUGAUCCAGCAAUGCCGCGUGAGUGAAGAAGGCC